GAUGAAGAACGUAGCGAAAUGCGAUAAGUAAUGUGAAUUGCAAAAUUCAGUGAAUCAUCGAAUCUUUGAACGCACAUUGCGCCCCUUGGUAUUCCGAGGGGCAUGCCUGUUCGAGCGUCAUUAUAACCCUCAAGCUCAGCUUGGUGUUGGGGCCUGCUGCACUGGCAGCCCUUAAAAUCAGUGGCGGCGCCAUCUGGCUCUAAGCGUAGUAAUUCUUCUCGCUAUGGAGUCCUGGUGGAUGCUUGCCAUCAACCCCCAAUUUUUCUAUGGUUGACCUCGGAUCAGGUAGGGAUACCCGCUGAACUUAAGCAUAUCAAUAAGCGGAGGA
Molecule: unclassified non-coding RNA, 328 nt
Filed under: soil metagenome
Description: partial contains 5.8S ribosomal RNA, internal transcribed spacer 2, and large subunit ribosomal RNA
Rfam family: 5.8S ribosomal RNA (bases 1-120)
Source: RNAcentral